GCCUUCGUGAUGUAAUGGUCAGCACACUGAGCCGGUAUUUCAGAGGUCCGUGGUUCGAUUCCCGGUGAAGGAA
RNAcentral lists this transfer RNA (73 nucleotides) under Stegodyphus mimosarum. It matches the Rfam family "tRNA". From Rfam's summary of the family: Transfer RNA (tRNA) molecules are approximately 80 nucleotides in length. Their secondary structure includes four short double-helical elements and three loops (D, anti-codon, and T loops). Lineage: Eukaryota; Metazoa; Arthropoda; Arachnida; Araneae; Eresidae. The record is from Rfam by way of RNAcentral.